Non-coding RNA from Jatropha curcas, 2889 nucleotides. The record is from RefSeq and is a predicted model, not a curated record. NCBI's taxonomy places the organism in Eukaryota, Viridiplantae, Streptophyta, Magnoliopsida, Malpighiales, Euphorbiaceae.
AUGUUCCCGACCCGCCAACGCCAUGUCUUCUUGGAGCUUUUCAAUUCAAUUUCGGCUUCAGCAAUUUAAAUUUUGCUGCUCUUUACUUAAAUAACAUACAUAGGUUUUCCAAAUUCCUUCAUGAUCCAUGUUAUCUUUGAGAAAUUUCACCGGUGUCAGUACUGCUCUAUCAUGUUCGUCAAAUUCUCUGGCAGUUCGCUGUCACUUCUCUUACCGUUUGGCAUUGAAAAUCGCCUCCAUCUCCAAAAUUCCUCUAUGCUCUCUCAAAGUCCAGGAAUUAUCCAUGGAGGAGCCUCUAGAAUCGACUCUUGAUAUGAAAGAGGUUGUUACAUUGAUGCAAAAUGAUAAGAACGAUCCAGUUCCAGGAGGACAAGAAGAGGAGGAAGACAAGGGGAUUUCGAAAAUACGAGUGGCGAGGCAAAAGUAUAUUCCAGUUUCGAAGGCAGAGCUCUUGGAUGCUAUUGUAUUGAAGUUAUUUGACUCUCAAGAUGAAGCAAAUGAAUUUCUCCUUCUCUCUUCACACUUGGAUUCUAUUCUACAUGCCGAGCACAAAAGCAUUUUAGAGGAAAUGCGAGCUGAUUAUUUCCUUAAUAAUGCCUUGGACAAUGUCGAAAAGAGUGAUGAGAAGCUGGCCCGUUCAGAUGCAAAAUCUGAAGUUAAUGGGGACAAAUCUGAUUCUGUCAGCGAUAGCAUCAAUGGAAUCGGGAACGUGGAGGAGAGGGAUGCUGAGGAGAAGGCUGAAAUUGACAUAAAAUUGAAUUUCAAUUUUGGACUGAACUUAAUGACUAUUUUAGGUUCUUCAGCUAAAACUCAGAAGAAAUGUUCAAAUGGGGAAUCCAGACUUGCUGUUUCCACUCGAUUCCAGCGUGCUUUUAUGCAGCUGCUUAAAAAUGGUCAGUUUGAAGAGUUAUCAGCUGGGGAUUUGACGUUGACUUCUGCCUUGAACUCGGAUUACCUACUUACUUUGCCAAUUUAUGUGGACUGGAAAAAGGCAUCUGAAUCCAAUGCGAUAAUAUUCAGGAGGGGUUAUGCAACUGAGAGACAGAAAGGGCUACUGAUUGUUGAAAAACUGGAUUACUUACAGUCUAGACUUCUACGGGGAAUCUUCUUCCUUGUAUCAAAACCACUGGAGAAAGUUGGCAAAUGGAUAAAAAAGGCUAUUAUUAAUGCUUAUCAGACCCCAGAAGAACAAUAUUGGUUCAAGAAAGUGGCACAUUGGUUUGUGGAACUCCCUCUUUUCGGGAAUUCAUAUUCUAAUAAUAGACAAGCGUCUGAUAAGAAACGGGAAAUUGAAUACCUACCAGAUAGCGAUGUUCCUAUUUGGCUUGCAGCACAGAGGGCAGUAAGUCGUUAUGAAGGAUUUCUGUCUCCUGUUGGACCCCGAGGAAGGCUACUCAGGAGGUUGCUUACUUGGAUUGGACUUGCACCUUCUAUGCCAGAAACAUCUUUUGAACUUGAUGGUGACAAUAAUGCUUCUGAGCCUCAUUUAAGGCCAACUUCCUUAGCAAGGAUAUCACUUAGUGAUAUAUGGAGACCUGCCACAAGAAAAUACUGCGGAAGUAAUAUUUGGAAAAUGUUAAAAACAUCCUUUUCCAUCCUUCUGUCACAGUCUGUCCUACAGGAGCCCGCAUUCCAAGAAUUGAUUUUGCUUUAUACCGAGGAAGUGAUUGACAGAAACACGCAGGAUAAAGAUGACGUUCCAUCAUUGCAAUUAAAGAUCUAUGAGAGAAUUCCUAUCCCGGAUCUACCAGUCAUUUUUCCUCACAAAAAGCUCUCUUUCCGUAUCAUAGAUACGAUACGGUUGGAUGCGGCCACAAUACUGGGACUUUCAGCAUACUUCAUCAACUACAAAUUUGAAAAUAUCUUAUCUUCCCCGUAUGGAUUUAUUAUUCAUAUGAUUGUUUUUGAAAUAUUAGCACAUGGCAUAUGAUAUUUUUCACAUUUAUAAGAGGAUAACUAUGUCUUAAAAUGAUGAGUCCAUGAUGCUAGUCAGAAGAAGAGGAACACUACUUUUGUUAUUACUUUCGAGGCUUAGAACCACAUCAGAAUUCUAAAAGGACCAAGCUCAUUUUUUGCCGCUUCUGGAUUUGCAGCAGUGCUUGAAAUUGCUUAAUGCUUUGAAGUUGCAUUGAGAAGUUCAUAGAACAUUACUUUUUUUUCCCUCUGUGAUGCAGCUCUGCAAUAUUUCUUGAUGUAAUUGCCAUCACUGCACUGAUAAUAUAUGUGACUCGUGUGGCUCUGGGUUACAAACAGACAUGGGAUAGGUAUCAAGACACUUUAUGAGAAAACAUUGGCAAGUGGCUUUGGCUCAGUUCAUUUUCUUCUGGAUGCUUCUGAACAGCAGCAGUACAAGGAAGCUGUUUUAACGUAUGCAAUCCUGCUUAAAGUUAAGCAUGGCCAGAUCAAUUGUCACCGAAGUGUUGGUGAGGAAUGUGAGAGAUUUAUGUAUGACGCGUUUAAAGUAAAGGUUGAAAUGCCAGUUGAGAAAGCAAUGAACACAUUGAUCAGGCUGGGCCUUGUUAUGGAAACACCCAUUGAUGGAAGAAUCAGACUGCAGGCUAUUUCUUGCGCAAAGGCGGAGAAGGUCCUCAAAGAACGUUGGAAUAGCUUGCUUCGUUAAACAAAAAUAUAUUCUAAAUUUCCAUUACCAAAUAAUUCAGUCUGCAUAUAUAUAUCUGUAAAUUUCCUCUUCUACAUGUCCCAGGUACGUUGAAAUAUUUGAAAAGAAAAUAUGAGAUAUGUAUAGAAGGAAAAAGUAGGUCUUUUUCAUAGAAACGACAGAGAUUAACGACCUUCCGAUGGUUUCUCUGUAUUAACUUACUAUAGAAUCACAUAUCCAUCGAGUAAAAGAAAUGUAUAAAAAUACACAUUUGGAUUCUUUCUUUUUCA